UGCGUAGGCGGGUCUUUAAGUCAGGGGUGAAAUCCUGGAGCUCAACUCCAGAACUGCCUUUGAUACUGAAGAUCUUGAGUUCGGGAGAGGUGAGUGGAACUGCGAGUGUAGAGGUGAAAUUCGUAGAUAUUCGCAAGAACACCAGUGGCGAAGGCGGCUCACUGGCCCGAUACUGACGCUGAGGACGAAAGCGUGGGGAGCAAACA
This 206-nucleotide ribosomal RNA is filed under the name uncultured bacterium. RNAcentral's name for it is "partial 16S ribosomal RNA". It matches the Rfam family "Bacterial small subunit ribosomal RNA", at positions 568 to 774 of the family's 1533-position model. The record is from RNAcentral.